UGAGGAAUUUUGCGCAAUGGGGGAAACCCUGACGCAGCAACGCCGCGUGGGCGAUGAAGGCCUUCGGGUCGUAAAGCCCUGUCGGGCGGGAAGAACGCUCUUGGUCGAAGGACUGGGGGGUGACGGUACCGCCAGAGGAAGCACCGGCUAACUCCGUGCCAGCAGCCGCGGUACUACGGAGGGUGCAAGCGUUAUUCGGAAUUACUGGGCGUAAAGGGCGUGCAGGCGGGAGAGCAAGUCUGAUGUGAAAGCCCGGGGCUUAAACCCGGAAGGGCAUUGGAAACUGCUUGUCUUGAG
Molecule: ribosomal RNA, 297 nt
Filed under: uncultured prokaryote
Description: partial 16S ribosomal RNA
Rfam family: Bacterial small subunit ribosomal RNA
Source: RNAcentral